CUUGCAAUCUGACCAUCUCAGCCUGACC
This 28-nucleotide non-coding RNA is filed under the name Mus musculus (house mouse). Lineage: Eukaryota; Metazoa; Chordata; Mammalia; Rodentia; Muridae. The record is from RNAcentral.